AUGCAUGAGGACCACAAGAAUUCCAGUCAUGACAACAGCAGGAAGGAUCAGCCAGGAGGGCAUUAUCCUCUUAUGCCUGCAAAUGCAAUUUUAAAUUGGAAUCUGAAUGAAGAUCUUUCUUGUGGGCACAUCUAUCCUGAUUCCUCUCUGAAAUACCUGGCCCUGACUGGCUGCUUUGGCAAGUCUUUCAGAAGUUGUUACAUUAAGAAAACAUUGAAGAUGAAUAUUUUCUCAGGUCAGUCUCCCAAAGCAAUACAAAUUAGAGUAUGUUUUUUAAGUAUGCUAACCCCUUCCCAUAAUUGUGUGUUUUAGCCUGAUGGUCCUGUAAGUUCAAACACUUCAUUACUAUAUUAAAAUUAAGAAGAGAGACAUACAAACAAACAAAAAGGGUUAUUUACUUCCUAACAUCCCUUGCCCACAUUUUAUGGUUUUGAUGACUCUUUUUUAUUUUUUUCUUUUUAAUUUUAUUUUGUUUGAAGCAUGUUCAUGAUUAAAUCUGUAUGCUGGCUUAUCUGAGUGACUGCUCUCUGAUUGCGGUUUCCUCAGUCCUAGUUCUUCCUCUUCUUCUUCUUUUUUUUUUUUUUUCCUUUUCUUUUUUCUUCCCUUUCCUUCCUUUCUUUUCGGUUUAGAGAAGCCCCUUCAAUAUUUCCUUUAACCUGGGUUUUGUGUUGCUGUAUUCUUUAAGUUUUUGUUUGUUGGGGAAAAUUUUUAUUUCCCCUUCUAUUUUAAAUGAUAUUCUUGCUGGAUAGAGUAUUCUAGGUUGCAUAUUUUUUCCUUUUAGCACUUUAAAUAUCUCUUGCCAUUCCCUCCUGGCCUGUAGUGUUUCUGUAGAGAAAUCAGCUGAUAUUCUUAUGGGGGUUCCCUUGUAAGUAACAUUCUGUUUUCUCUCGCUGCCUUUAGGAUUUCUCUCGCUGCCUUUAGGAUCCUCCCCAUAUGGCCCUGCAAUCCCACUCUUGGGCAUCUAUCCGGACAAAACUCUACUUAAAAGAGACACAUGCACCCGCAUGUUCACUGCAGCACUAUUCACAAUAGCCAGGACAUGGAAACAACCCAAAUGUCCAUCGACAGAUGAUUGGAUUCGGAAGAAGUGGUAUAUAUACACAAUGGAAUACUACUCAGCCAUAAAAAAGGAUGACAUAACGCCAUUUGCAGAAACAUGGAUGGAACUAGAGACUCUCAUACUGAGUGAAAUGAGCCGGAAAGACAAAGACAAAUACCAUAUGAUAUCACUUAUAACUGGAAUCUAAUAUCCAGCACAAAUGAACAUCUCCUCAGAAAAGAAAAUCAUGGACUUGGAGAAAAGACUUGAGGUUGCCUGAUGGGAGAGGGAGGGAGUGGGAGGGAUCGGGAGCUUGGGCUUAUCAGACACAACUUAGAAUAGAUUUACAAGGAGAUCCUGCUGAAUAGCAUUGAGAACUAUGUCUAGAUACUCAUGUUGCAACAGAAGAAAGGGUGGGGGAAAAACUGUAAUUGUAAUGUAUACAUGUAAGGAUAACCUGACCCCCUUGCUGUACAGUAGGAAAAGAAAAAAAAAAAAGAAAUUAGAGCAAAAAUAAACCAAUGGGACCUAAUCA
Molecule: long non-coding RNA, 1574 nt
Filed under: Sus scrofa (pig)
Lineage: Eukaryota; Metazoa; Chordata; Mammalia; Artiodactyla; Suidae
Description: lncRNA (ENSSSCG00070004188.1)
Source: RNAcentral